GGUACACAGAUCUGAAUGUGAGAACAGAAGCCCCGCCCACCUGUUGUUCAGAACUUCUGUUCAGGAGGAGCGGGCAAUGGGAAGUUCCCCAAGGAAUAGGGAAGCGAGUAGCAUGCUGGGGCCCGAGGAAGAGAAGGAGUAGCAGCAACAGCUGCAGGCAAGCAACGCUGAGCUGGCGGUGAGGAGCUGAAAAGCACCAGAUGAGCAAGCACGGCGUGUUGGAUCGUUGAUUUCAGAUGUCAAGGACAAGUUACUGAGCUACACUGUAUGCUGAAGUAAAGUUGAUCAGAGGAAACCUGAGAUGGCUGCUCCGGCUUGAUGACAUGCUGAAAUGUUCACAGACUGAGCCUCGGUGUCCAUCCGGUGGAGUUGUGAGUCAUUUUGGAGAACCUCAGAAUUGC
Haplochromis burtoni (Burton's mouthbrooder) is the source of this 401-nucleotide long non-coding RNA. RefSeq lists it as uncharacterized. Lineage: Eukaryota; Metazoa; Chordata; Actinopteri; Cichliformes; Cichlidae. The transcript is spliced from 4 exons. The record is from RefSeq and is a predicted model, not a curated record.